GAGCUUGCUCCUGCCGGCGAGUGGCGAACGGGUGAGUAAUGCAUCGGAACGUGUCCUGUUGUGGGGGAUAACUGAUCGAAAGAUCAGCUAAUACCGCAUGAGACCUGAGGGUGAAAGCGGGGGAUCGCAAGACCUCGCGCGACAGGAGCGGCCGAUGUCUGAUUAGCUAGUUGGUGAGAUAAAAGCUUACCAAGGCGACGAUCAGUAGCUGGUCUGAGAGGAUGAUCAGCCACAUUGGGACUGAGACACGGCCCAGACUCCUACGGGAGGCAGCAGUGGGGAAUUUUGGACAAUGGGGGAAACCCUGAUCCAGCCAUGCCGCGUGCGGGAUGAAGGCCUUCGGGUUGUAAACCGCUUUUGUCAGAGACGAAAAGGGACGUACGAAUAAUACGUUCCGCUGACGGUAUCUGAAGAAUAAGCACCGGCUAACUACGUGCCAGCAGCCGCGGUAAUACGUAGGGUGCAAGCGUUAAUCGGAAUUACUGGGCGUAAAGGGUGCGCAGGCGGCUGUGCAAGACAGGUGUGAAAUCCCCGGGCUUAACCUGGGAACUGCAUUUGUGACUGCACGGCUAGAGUUUGUCAGAGGAGGGUGGAAUUCCGCGUGUAGCAGUGAAAUGCGUAGAUAUGCGGAAGAACACCAAUGGCGAAGGCAGCCCUCUGGGACAUGACUGACG
Molecule: ribosomal RNA, 674 nt
Filed under: uncultured bacterium
Lineage: Bacteria
Description: bacterial SSU rRNA
Rfam family: Bacterial small subunit ribosomal RNA
Source: RNAcentral